RNAcentral lists this ribosomal RNA (568 nucleotides) under uncultured bacterium. RNAcentral's name for it is "partial 16S ribosomal RNA". It matches the Rfam family "Bacterial small subunit ribosomal RNA", at positions 355 to 912 of the family's 1533-position model. The record is from RNAcentral.
UGGGGAAUAUUGCACAAUGGGCGCAAGCCUGAUGCAGCCAUGCCGCGUGUGUGAAGAAGGCCUUCGGGUUGUAAAGCACUUUCAGCGAGGAGGAAGGUGGUGAGCUUAAUACGCUCAUCAAUUGACGUUACUCGCAGAAGAAGCACCGGCUAACUCCGUGCCAGCAGCCGCGGUAAUACGGAGGGUGCAAGCGUUAAUCGGAAUUACUGGGCGUAAAGCGCACGCAGGCGGUUUGUUAAGUCAGAUGUGAAAUCCCCGGGCUCAACCUGGGAACUGCAUUUGAAACUGGCAAGCUAGAGUCUCGUAGAGGGGGGUAGAAUUCCAGGUGUAGCGGUGAAAUGCGUAGAGAUCUGGAGGAAUACCGGUGGCGAAGGCGGCCCCCCUGGACGAAGACUGACGCUCAGGUGCGAAAGCGUGGGGCAGCAAACAGGAUUAGAUACCCUGGUAGUCCACGCUGUAAACGAUGUCGAUUUGGAGGUUGUGCCCCUUGAGGCGUGGCUUCCGGAGCUAACGCGUUAAAUCGACCGCCNGGGGAGUACGGCCGCAAGGUUAAAACUCAAAUGAAUUG